Molecule: transfer RNA, 87 nt
Filed under: Parvularculaceae bacterium
Lineage: Bacteria; Pseudomonadati; Pseudomonadota; Alphaproteobacteria; Parvularculales; Parvularculaceae
Description: tRNA-Leu
Rfam family: tRNA
About the family: Transfer RNA (tRNA) molecules are approximately 80 nucleotides in length. Their secondary structure includes four short double-helical elements and three loops (D, anti-codon, and T loops). Further hydrogen bonds mediate the characteristic L-shaped molecular structure. tRNAs have two regions of fundamental functional importance: the anti-codon, which is responsible for specific mRNA codon recognition, and the 3' end, to which the tRNAs corresponding amino acid is attached (by aminoacyl-tRNA synthetases). tRNAs cope with the degeneracy of the genetic code in two manners: having more than one tRNA (with a specific anti-codon) for a particular amino acid; and 'wobble' base-pairing, i.e. permitting non-standard base-pairing at the 3rd anti-codon position.
Source: RNAcentral
GCGGACGUGGCGGAACUGGUAGACGCAACGGACUUAAAAUCCGUCGGCCGAAAGGCCAUGGGGGUUCGAUUCCCCCCGCCCGCACCA